RNAcentral lists this long non-coding RNA (1436 nucleotides) under Elaeis guineensis (African oil palm). RNAcentral's name for it is "long non-coding RNA (EGUI_LNC075847)". The record is from RNAcentral. Lineage: Eukaryota; Viridiplantae; Streptophyta; Magnoliopsida; Arecales; Arecaceae.
AUGUCACGAUGAGGCAUUACCAUUGCACCAACACUCACCCUCUAUAUAGAUGAUAAUUUAGUGGGAAUUAAUCCACCAACAAACUAACAAAGAAAGACCUAAAUUUAAUAAAUUAUAUAUCAAAUGUGAAUCCAUUAAUAAAAUAUGCAGCAGAAUCGACAAUUGCAAUCAAACUCAGCUGCAUCAUAUGCUAUCAAACCAUAAGAUUGAUGAUCAAACAUCAGAUUAUUGCUUGCGCAUAAAACUCAAAAUCUGCCAUCCAGAUCUCCAUCAUAAGAUAUCUACUUCUAAUUAUAAAGAAGCCAGUGUAAAAUCAAUCCUCCAGCCAGCAAAAUAUAAGUGGAUAAACCCCCUUCUCCCUGCUUCAAGACAUUAUCUAACCAAACUCCUCAAAUGGGCUUUGUUAACAAAAUCAUAUAAGGCCAUCAGCAAGAAUGAUAGCAGGAAAGGCCUUUGGACACAAAAUUAAUUGCAAACCAAAAAUGCUUCUACCGUUUGCCUAUUUUUCACUUGUGCUUCAUCCUGCAUCAUGCACAUCAACCAUAAAGGGGCUUAUUUCCCACCUUACUUGGUCACCCAACACACUCUGGCAUCAGAACCCAUCGACUCAAACAACAAAAGGUCAGUUGUUUCACAAUCCAAGCCCAAUGUCCCAACAAAUUUACACUCCGAUAGCCAUUAAAACUCACUCAAAAAAAAAUCUUUAAACAAAAUUAUUACAGAAAAUCGACCAUCAUCACGAGUUUCUCCUCCGCCAUCUUUAGUCAUCCAACACCCUCUCACAUCAGAAUCCAUUGACUCAAACAAUAAAAGAUCAGUUUAAUUCACAAUCCAGACCAACUCUCUCCACGAAUUUCCACCCCCAUAGCGCUAAAGCUCGCGUCAAACAAUCUUUAAUCAGAACUACCACAAAAAAAUCGACCAACAUCCAAUAAAAAUUCCGCAAAGUAACAACUUUGCCCACCAAAAACAAUACAAAUGCAAUCGAAGUCGAUCCAUAUUUUAGUCAUUUCAACAAGAUAAAAACAAAAAUACGACAAUGAGAAAGCAAAAUGGAAGGAUUUUUAGAGGCUAAAUCGACCUUUUAGCUCAUCGGCAAGGGUGAAGAGGUACUCAUUGAGCUUCUUCUUUAUGGAUUCAGCGUCACCGAACUCCCCCGUGAGGAAGCUGUCAUCGCCGCCAGCCAUCCGCCGGAGAGCGGCGGAUCGCAGGGACUCUGGCAGGGAGAGGCCGAAGAGGCGUGCAGCGGCCUCCGAUUCCGCCAGCUCCACGAGGCGGGCCCCGGUAACGGUGGCGCCGGGCAGCGGAAGACGGAGAUCGCCGUCUCUAAGCUGGUCUCCGUCGAUCACCAUUAGACCUCCGUCGGCCAUGAUCCCGUCUGAGAACCGGAAGAGACAAGACGAUCGAAACACUGGGUUCCAAGUCCAACUCUCUUG